RNAcentral lists this ribosomal RNA (456 nucleotides) under uncultured bacterium. RNAcentral describes it as "partial 16S ribosomal RNA". It matches the Rfam family "Bacterial small subunit ribosomal RNA", at positions 338 to 791 of the family's 1533-position model. The record is from RNAcentral.
CCUACGGGAGGCAGCAGUGAGGAAUAUUGGUCAAUGGACGAGAGUCUGAACCAGCCAAGUAGCGUGAAGGAUGACUGCCCUAUGGGUUGUAAACUUCUUUUAUAUGGGAAUAAAACGUUCCACGUGUGGGAUUUUGUAUGUACCAUAUGAAUAAGGAUCGGCUAACUCCGUGCCAGCAGCCGCGGUAAUACGGAGGAUCCGAGCGUUAUCCGGAUUUAUUGGGUUUGAAGGGAGCGUAGGUGGAUUGUUAAGUCAGUUGUGAAAGUUUGCGGCUCAACCGUAAAAUUGCAGUUGAAACUGGCAGUCUUGAGUACAGUAGAGGUGGGCGGAAUUCGUGGUGUAGCGGUGAAAUGCUUAGAUAUCACGAAGAACUCCGAUUGCGAAGGCAGUUCACUGGACUGCAACUGACACUGAGGCUCGAAAGUGUGGGUAUCAAACAGGAUUAGAUACCCAGUC